UACGUAGGGGGCGAGCGUUGUCCGGAUUUAUUGGGCGUAAAGAGCGUGUAGGCGGCUCGGCACGUCCGUUGUGAAAUCGCCCGGCUCAACUGGGCGGGGUCGGCGGAUACGGCCGAGCUGGAGCAAGCUAGGGGGUAAUGGAAUUCCCGGUGUAGUGGUGGAAUGCGUAGAUAUCGGGAGGAACACCAGUGGCGAAGGCGGUUACCUGGAGCUUUGCUGACGCUGAUGCGCGAAAGCGUGGGGAGCGAGUCCGG
RNAcentral lists this ribosomal RNA (254 nucleotides) under uncultured bacterium. RNAcentral's name for it is "partial 16S ribosomal RNA". It matches the Rfam family "Bacterial small subunit ribosomal RNA", at positions 524 to 777 of the family's 1533-position model. The record is from RNAcentral.